RNAcentral lists this ribosomal RNA (497 nucleotides) under uncultured bacterium. Its description in RNAcentral is "partial 16S ribosomal RNA". It matches the Rfam family "Bacterial small subunit ribosomal RNA", at positions 27 to 507 of the family's 1533-position model. The record is from RNAcentral.
GGGGGGGGGGGGGGGGGGGGCGGGUGGGGGCGGGGGGGGCGAGCGGACGGGGAGGUUGGUUUUCUGCUGUUGGGGGCGGACGGGUGAGUGCGCCGUGGCUAGCCUACCUCUACUACUGGGCUAGGUUCCGGUAACCUUAGCUACUACCGGGUAAUAUGUUGGACCGCAUUGUUCCCAAUUGAAGUACCUUCUUGCUGUGCCUUAUAGAUGGCUCCGCGCUGCAUUUGCUAGUUGGUAAGGGAACGUCUUACCAAGGCAACGAUGCAUAGCCGACCUGAGAGGGUGAUCGGCCACACUGGAACUGAGACACGGUCCAGACUCCUACGGGAGGCAGCCGUAGGGAAUCUUCCGCAAUGGGCGAAAGCCUGACGGAGCAACGCCGCGUGAGUGAUGAAGGUCUUCGGAUCGUAAAACUCUGUUAUUAGGGAAGAACAUAUGUGUAAGUAACUGUGCACAUCUUGACGGUACCUAAUCAGAAAGCCACGGCUAACUACGUG